Molecule: unclassified non-coding RNA, 602 nt
Filed under: Hevea brasiliensis (rubber tree)
Lineage: Eukaryota; Viridiplantae; Streptophyta; Magnoliopsida; Malpighiales; Euphorbiaceae
Source: RNAcentral
UGGCUCCAGAGUAUGCAAUGCAUGGACAUAACUCUGUGAAGUCAGAUGUAUAUAGUUUUGGCGUCUUAAUUCUUGAGAUAAUAAGCGGCAAAAAGAACAGUUCUUUUUGUCAAUCAGAUGGAGCUGAGGACCUCUUGAGCUAUGCAUGGAAACAUUGGUGCAAUGAGACACCACUGCAAUUUAUGGAUCCAGUUCUCAGAGAUUCUUAUAAAAGAAAUGAGAUCAUUAGAUGCAUGCAUCUUGGUUUGUUGUGUGUUCAGGAAAAUCCAGGUGAUAGGCCUACCAUGAAAUCAAUAAUUAUCAUGCUUAGCAGUUCCUCCAUUGCUUUUCCACUGCCAGAACAACCUGGAUUUUUCCUUCACGGUGGAAUAGACAUGGAAACCCAAUCAAAGGAGCUGGAAUCUAAUCAAUCUGCUAGUAGGUCUAUACAAUUAUCUGUCAAUGAAAUGUCAGUUACUGAAUUAUACCCUCGUUAGAGCAAGUAAUUAGCCGAUAAUAAGGUUUCUGUAAAAGCUUGUUGAUCGAGAAUACAUUUUUUGAUCGCAUUGAUUAUGAAAGUGUUUGGUUUGAUUUAUAAAUUAAUUAAAUCUAUUUAUAAGCAG